This 439-nucleotide ribosomal RNA is filed under the name uncultured bacterium. RNAcentral describes it as "bacterial SSU rRNA". It matches the Rfam family "Bacterial small subunit ribosomal RNA", at positions 340 to 773 of the family's 1533-position model. The record is from RNAcentral.
UACGGAAGGCAGCAGUGGGGAAUAUUGCACAAUGGGCGAAAGCCUGAUGCAGCUAUGCCGCGUGUAUGAAGAAGGCCUUCGGGUUGUAAAGUACUUUCAGUCGUGAGGAAGGUGUUAAGGUUAAUAACCUUAGCAAUUGACGUUAGCGACAGAAGAAGCACCGGCUAACUCCGUGCCAGCAGCCGCGGUAAUACGGAGGGUGCGAGCGUUAAUCGGAAUUACUGGGCGUAAAGGGCACGCAGGCGGUUAAUUAAGUUGGAUGUGAAAUCCCCGGGCUUAACCUGGGAAUGGCAUUCAAGCUGGUUAGCUAGAGUCUUGUAGAGGGGGUAGAAUUCCAUGUGUAGCGGUGAAAUGCGUAGAGAUGUGGAGGAAUACCGGUGGCGAAGGCGGCCCCUGGACAAAGGACUGACGCUCAUGUGCGAAAGCGUGGGGAGCAAAC